GUCAUCAUGGGUUUGACAGUACCAGGGAAACAAGAACACUGAUUUCUCCCUUUCUGUUAAAUUGUCCUAUAAUCUCCGCUUUCUCCAAAUCUAUGUUAUUGGCAUGGGUUUCUUCCAAAUUUGAUGUUAUUAACUAAAACCCAAAUCGGAAAAUGUGUCUUCCACUGAUGGAGCUAAAAAGGUCUUGGAAAUUCUGUACUUCGUUGAACGAAAUUCGCUUAAAGAGCUAUGAAAUUCGGGGAACAAGAUCAUUUGGAAAAGAGGAAGAUUUAUUGGGUGGGUUUGUUUUCCUUUUCUCUCCAUGAUAAAGUUCAUUUUAUUUGGUUUUUUUGUAAUUCUGGGUUUUGUUUAAAUUUUUUUCUCGUGGGAUUAUCUUGGUUGAGAUUUGGGGUUUAGGUUUGAUGUUUGAGCUGAUUAAAUUACCUGAAAGUUUUUAAGUUGAUGAAAAUGUUUGAGUUAUAAUGUCUGUUUUUGGGACUUAGAAUCGCAUGAGAGGAUGUAAGCAGUUGGUGAUCAUUCAACUACAUUCGACUAAUGUUUUAUGUUUACAAGAGGUUACACAAGAAAUGUACCAGAUAUUCCACCUGGUGGUGGGAAGCAUAUCGAUGUUCGGCUUCAUAUGAUUUCGAGAAUGUCAAACCUUAUUUCUGUAUGCAGGUAGUAUAUGAUUCACAUCUGUUUCACCCAUUUGCUAAUCUUUUCGAUAUUCAAUUGAAUGACUUUCAUAUUUAUUUCUCGAUUGACUUGUUAUACUUGGCAGUUGAGUAAAUUAACAGUAAAAUUUUAUAUAGCUGUAAACCCUUCAGCAACUCUAAAAUUUGGUAAGUACACUCUUUAGAAAGCCUUAGUAAUCUUGAACUGAUUACAGUAUUUAUCGAACGGCGCAGGAAUCUUUCAUCAAUCAGUUAUAAAGGUCUGAUACUUAUUGAGCUAUCUUGAAUCUGUAAGUUAGAUACCCUGUAAGUGCAAACCUUUUUCAAAAAUUAGGUUGUGUGAUAGUGCUACUAUUUUAUCUUCAGGUUUAUAACAUUUGUGUUUCUCCGGGGACCUUUCGAACAACAAGAUAUCUGGUCCUACACCUUCUUCGAUUGAUGACUUGGAACGUCUCCUUACACUAAAUUUAAGCAAGAACCGUUUAACUGAAGGGAUUCCUUCAGAGUUUGGAAAUCUAGGAGUGUGAUGGAGACAAUAUAACUAUUCAUUUUGUUAUACGGGUACUUACUAACUGCUUCACUUUUAUAAGCAAAAUUGUGCAUAUUUUCUUUCAAACGGUCCUAUAAAAUAAAUAGAGUACUUCGCCAACACGGUUGUAUAAAUUUUAAUGGGUACCUUGUUUUUCACAGUACUAUAAAUUAUGAUGGUUAAUUGGCUUUGAGGGUCGUAUAAAUUAAACUAAGUACCCAAUCUAGUUGGUAGUAUAAAAAAAAUUGAGUGAAUUCUGCAUUUUGUUAUAUGGGUACUUACUAACUCUUGUUGUAGUUUGGAGAGUAAUUAUAUUCAUUGUAAAUUCUACAUUUUGUUAUUGCUUUGUUAUAUAUGUGGAGAAUGAUGUUGGUUGUUGUUUUUUAGUUCAGAGCUGGGGAAUUUGUUGUUUCAUGGCUGCUGGGGACCUUUUUAAUGGUAUUUGUGAUUCUUCCAGUCCUUCGUGGCCCAUGGAGUUUGGAAACGACUACAUCUCUUCUAUCGUAUGUGCUUCUAUGGGUUUCUUUUGCUUACCUGAUAUAAUAAUUUUUAUCAUGCCGGUCAGAAACUUGAAAUUUUGAAGUUGGUGAAAUGAAAAUGGAUUAUUUUUAUGUUCUACAAGCAAGUGCAGAGUUGGCUUUCUGAAAAGGAAAAGAGGGGAGAAAUAUUAGGGAAAGUAAGCAUGGUUAUUAGAAGUUGGCUUUCUUAAUGGGAAAGUGGGGAGAAAUAAUGGUAUUGGUAGUUGUUAAAUGUAUAUUAAGAAUAUCUAAAACAUCUUUUAAGCAUUUCAUAAUUUGUAGAUCUCUUGCAGAUAGCUUGGUGAUUAUAGUUAUAGAAUUGUUGUCAACAAAUCCUGUUGAAGAUAGAGCCUUGCAUUACAAUUUUAAUAGUAAAAUAUCAAAAUUAUCAAGUUAUAAUAGAAGUUUAUGGACACAAUAAGUCCUCAUUUUCUGUCUAAAAGUUGAAGUUGUGAGCAGCUGACUAAACACAUGGUUGGAAAACUAUGUCGUUGUUGGUUAGGAGUUUGAACGUGAGAGAUGCUCACUGGAAUAACAAACACAGUCGCAAAUCAAAGCCCUAUGAAGAUUAAGACGGAUACAUCUUUAGUUCCCUCAAUUUCAGGGCCUUUUCCUACUUCAGUCCAUCCAGUGAUUGAGUCAAUGAUGAGUCGUCAAUCAAUUCAUGUCGGAAGUACGUCGCCGGCAACAGUAAAAAUGGAGCCAAACACCACACCUUCUUCAAAUUUUCCCCAUCCUCCAUCUGUAUCUCAUGGUCCUUAUCAGGGAAUCACAAACUUGCAAUCUUCUCCACCUUCGUCCACUUCACAAUAUUUGAUCACAAACAAUGACAAUGUUCAGGAAUUUAAACUUGUAGUUGGUGGUCUAUCCGAACCGUUAUGUCCAAUAGGCCCUGUGGCAGAAAGUGCGAGUAUUUUGAACAAUAUCUCUCAAAUACGGCAAGCUAUGAACUCUGCUAAUUUAUUUAUUUUUUUGAUUCAAAAGUGA
RNA transcript from Papaver somniferum (opium poppy), 2687 nucleotides. It is a transcript of the gene named mediator of RNA polymerase II transcription subunit 25-like, with no coding region annotated. The transcript has 4 exons. The record is from RefSeq and is a predicted model, not a curated record. Lineage: Eukaryota; Viridiplantae; Streptophyta; Magnoliopsida; Ranunculales; Papaveraceae.